This 448-nucleotide ribosomal RNA is filed under the name uncultured bacterium. RNAcentral describes it as "bacterial SSU rRNA". It matches the Rfam family "Bacterial small subunit ribosomal RNA", at positions 330 to 793 of the family's 1533-position model. The record is from RNAcentral.
UCCAGACUCCUACGGGAGGCAGCAGUGGGGCCUCUUGGGCAAUGGGCGCCAGCCUGACCCAGCACCGCCGCGUGAAGGAAGAAGGCUUUCGGGUUGUAAACUUCUUUUAACAGGGAAGAGCAGAAGACGGUCCCUGUUGAAUAAGCCACGGCUAACUACGUGCCAGCAGCCGCGGUAAUACGUAGGUGGCAAGCGUUGUCCGGAUUUACUGGGUGUAAAGGGCGUGCAGCCGGGUUUAUAAGUCAGAUGUGAAAUCCCGCGACUCAACCGCGGAACUGCAUUUGAAACUGUAGAUCUUGAGUACUGGAGAGGCAGGCGGAAUUCCUAGUGUAGCGGUGAAAUGCGUAGAUAUUAGGAGGAACACCAGUGGCGAAGGCGGCCUGCUGGACAGCAACUGACGGUGAGGCGCGAAAGCGUGGGGAGCAAACAGGAUUAGAUACCCGUGUAC